Molecule: long non-coding RNA, 398 nt
Organism: Rattus rattus (black rat)
Lineage: Eukaryota; Metazoa; Chordata; Mammalia; Rodentia; Muridae
Exons: 2
Source: RefSeq, a predicted model, not a curated record
UUCCAUUCUGGUUGGACUGUGACAGUUCCAGAAACUAAAGCAAUUCCCCAAACCUAGCAACAUUCCAGACAUAACAGAGUGCAUAAUCACUGGAUUGGAGCCUUCCCUGAAGAAGCACAGCUGUUUCUGAGUCACUCCACGGAACUACGCUUUUGCCUCAGGCCUCAGACGGUGCUGCUUCUCGGCUUGAGUUCCUACCCCAGAACAAAGCCUGACCCAACCUCCUGCGUGACUUUGUUGCCGUUCACCCUCAGUUCUCACUCAAAACUUCAGCUCUACUCCCAACCUUGAAUUGGACCACCAUUGCUGGAACUCCCUCCACAGACCAGGCUGGCCCGGAACUCAGAGAUUUGCCUGCCUCUGUCUCUUGCAUAAUGGGAUUAAAGGUGUGCACACCA